CCUACGGGUGGCAGCAGUAGGGAAUCUUUCACAAUGGGCGAAAGCCUGAUGGAGCAACGCCGCGUGCAGGAUGAAGGCCUUCUGGUUGUAAACUGCUUUUAUAAGCGAGAAAUAUGAUGGUAACUUAUGAAUAAGGAUCGUCUAACUACAUUCCAGCAGCCGCGGUCAUACGUAGGAUCCGAGCAUUAUCCGGAGUGACUGGGUGUAAAGAGGUGCGUAGGUGGCAUAAUAAGUAGCUAGUGAAAUCUGGGGGCUCAACCAUUCAGACUAUUAGCUAAACUGUUAAGCUCGAGACCGUUAGGGGUAACUGGAAUUUGUAGUGUAGGAGUGAAAUCCGUAGAUAUUAGAAGGAACACCAAUAGCGUAGGCAGGUUACUGGGACGGUUCUGACACUAAGGCACGAAAGCGUAGGGAGCGAAAGGGAUUAGAUACCCCAGUAGUC
Molecule: ribosomal RNA, 442 nt
Filed under: uncultured bacterium
Lineage: Bacteria
Description: partial 16S ribosomal RNA
Rfam family: Bacterial small subunit ribosomal RNA
Source: RNAcentral